GGGGGCCCGCACAAGCGGUGGAGCAUGUGGUUUAAUUCGAAGCAACGCGAAGAACCUUACCAGGUCUUGACAUCCUCUGACAAUCCUAGAGAUAGGACGUCCCCUUCGGGGGCAGAGUGANCAGGUGGUGCAUGGUUGUCGUCAGCUCGUGUCGUGAGAUGUUGGGUUAAGUCCCGCAACGAGCGCAACCCUUGAUCUUAGUUGCCAGCAUUCAGUUGGGCACUCUAAGGUGACUGCCGGUGACAAANCCGGAGGAAGGUGGGGAUGACGUCAAAUCAUCAUGCCCCUUAUGACCUGGGCUACACACGUGCUACAAUGGACAGAACAAAGGGCAGCGAAACCGCGAGGUUAAGCCAAUCCCACAAAUCUGUUCUCAGUUCGGAUCGCAGUCUGCAACUCGACUGCGUGAAG
Molecule: ribosomal RNA, 411 nt
Filed under: Bacillus sp. RBS-24
Lineage: Bacteria; Bacillati; Bacillota; Bacilli; Caryophanales; Bacillaceae
Description: bacterial SSU rRNA
Rfam family: Bacterial small subunit ribosomal RNA
Source: RNAcentral